AAAUUGAAGAGUUUGAUCAUGGCUCAGAUUGAACGCUGGCGGCAGGCCUAACACAUGCAAGUCGAACGGUAACAGGAAACAGCUUGCUGUUUCGCUGACGAGUGGCGGACGGGUGAGUAAUAUCUGGGAAACUGCCUGAUGGAGGGGGAUAACUACUGGAAACGGUAGCUAAUACCGCAUAACGUCGCAAGACCAAAGAGGGGGACCUUCGGGCCUCUUGCCAUCGGAUGUGCCCAGAUGGGAUUAGCUUGUUGGUGGGGUAACGGCUCACC
Molecule: ribosomal RNA, 272 nt
Filed under: Escherichia coli
Lineage: Bacteria; Pseudomonadati; Pseudomonadota; Gammaproteobacteria; Enterobacterales; Enterobacteriaceae
Description: partial 16S ribosomal RNA
Rfam family: Bacterial small subunit ribosomal RNA
Source: RNAcentral